Molecule: long non-coding RNA, 877 nt
Organism: Ricinus communis (castor bean)
Lineage: Eukaryota; Viridiplantae; Streptophyta; Magnoliopsida; Malpighiales; Euphorbiaceae
Exons: 2
Source: RefSeq, a predicted model, not a curated record
UAUAUUAUAAAUAAUUCAUAAGUGAUGACAGGUCAUCAUUGCAGACCAACACCUCGAUCUCCCUAGAGACCAGAUGAGCAGCACAACGGAGACUAAGCGUGAGCACUCGACUCCUAACAGCCCCCGCACCAGGGAAUACGCGGUGACAGGAGCGGGACUCUUAGUAAAAGCUGUUGACAUCUUAGACUCUUAAAGGGGCUAGUCAGCCUGUCCCUUCAUCCUUCCUCAGGAAGCGACAGAAAGGACAAGGGUCAGAUUGAUACUACAGAAACUGCCCCACAGCCAUCAGCCAAUAGGAAGUCAGGUAGACAGAGCGGGAGCUAAUAAGAAGGCGCGAUGGGAUCAGAUAAGCCAAUGGAGUGGCGGCGAGAAGGAUAUACUAUCUAUCCUCCAUAUAUAAAGAACAAAAUAACAAGAGUGAUUGCACCGGUCUCCCUACCAGUGCUGUCAUUCUAACUGUGGACUAUCUUACAGGAUCGAGCCAAGGAGAAGAAGACUCGCAUAUCAACAAGUGUUAUCAGUGGUGCCAUGAGCUCGGCAAAACAACGGGAAAGGAAAAGAGCAUCCCUCCUCUGCCUGCAAGCCUGAAUUUUGAAAUGCUGAACCUUUAACAUUUCCAAUUCUAAGAAAUGGACAAGAUGGAGGAAGCCAACCUUCCAUACAAAUAUUUUCGCUGAUUGCCACUUUUUAACACAAAGGAAAGAGUAUACUAUAUCAAACCUGUAUAAGGAAAGGGAAGAACUGAAACUUUUUACAUGAUAAGAUUAGCAAGCCUUGAAGAAUUAGCUACUGUAUUAUUAAAAAUUAUGUUACUGCACUCCAUCCAAAUUGACCAUAGAGGUGAAAAAGAAGUUGCAAUUCAAAAUUUUCUUUGAAA